UACGUAGGGUGCAAGCGUUAAUCGGAAUUACUGGGCGUAAAGCGCGCGUAGGCGGCUUUGCAAGUCGGGUGUGAAAUCCCCAGGCUUAACCUGGGAACUGCAUUCGAGACUGCAUUGCUAGAGUAUGGGAGAGGGAAGUGGAAUUUCAGGUGUAGCGGUGAAAUGCGUAGAUAUCUGAAGGAACAUCAGUGGCGAAAGCGACUUCCUGGACCAAUACUGACGCUCAUGUGCGAAAGCGUGGGGAGCAAACAGG
This 253-nucleotide ribosomal RNA is filed under the name uncultured bacterium. RNAcentral's name for it is "partial 16S ribosomal RNA". It matches the Rfam family "Bacterial small subunit ribosomal RNA", at positions 524 to 776 of the family's 1533-position model. The record is from RNAcentral.